This is a long non-coding RNA of Mesocricetus auratus (golden hamster), 628 nucleotides long. RefSeq lists it as uncharacterized. The record is from RefSeq and is a predicted model, not a curated record. NCBI's taxonomy places the organism in Eukaryota, Metazoa, Chordata, Mammalia, Rodentia, Cricetidae. The transcript has 2 exons.
CAGCGUGAUCUUUGAUUACAGAAUCUUUUAGAUACCAACUAGGAGUCCUAUUCUGCCCCCCCCAUCCCCGAGAAACUCCUCCACCCCAACUGCAUAGGAAUCUAGUGACAACGAAGCAUCCUAUUUUAGUCUCUCUCUGGGUGCUGGAAACCCUGGAAUUCCCUGCUACUCUCCAGGAAUGCACUGCUAUCCCAAGGAGCCUCUGCCCUAGUGUAAAAGGCUUUAGGUUCAAGGGGUGGCAGAGUUGCAGUGAGGAGAAAACUUGUUGCUAGCUGUCAGCUUUUGCACGGUUUGCCACACAAGCAGAGUCUCUUCAUCCAAAAGGCUGAGCUGUGGGAUGGAGGAAAGAAGACUCAGACAGGAUCGGUUGUGGCCUGCAUUACAUUCGGAGUUCUCCAGCUAUCCACACCCUACUUCCUCUGGUCUUCCAGCAAUAAUAAUCACCUUACAGUAAAGUUCCUGCCUCCCAGUCCUUUAAAUUGCAACAGCUACCAAUUUAAGAGCACGUAGUACCCCGUGUCUGAAACCUUGUCACUGGAGAUGAUGAUGCAGGAGGGUGGGGAAUUUGAGGUUGGCCUGGAUUGUAUAGUGGGAAUGUCUCAAAUAAAAAAUAAAUAAAUAAAACAAA